CCAUGUUUGGAAGGUGAUUUUCUC
RNAcentral lists this microRNA (24 nucleotides) under Ananas comosus (pineapple). RNAcentral describes it as "microRNA s0859_c115a". Lineage: Eukaryota; Viridiplantae; Streptophyta; Magnoliopsida; Poales; Bromeliaceae. The record is from RNAcentral.